GUCAUAAUAAAAACGUAUAUUUCGUCGUUUCAGAAUGGUUUACUUCAAGAAAUCGUGGGGCCGGGGGGUGGGGUUUGCGGUUUCGCCCGCAGGA
Molecule: non-coding RNA, 94 nt
Organism: Zootermopsis nevadensis
Lineage: Eukaryota; Metazoa; Arthropoda; Insecta; Blattodea; Termopsidae
Source: RefSeq, a predicted model, not a curated record